Molecule: long non-coding RNA, 392 nt
Organism: Acanthopagrus latus (yellowfin seabream)
Lineage: Eukaryota; Metazoa; Chordata; Actinopteri; Spariformes; Sparidae
Exons: 2
Source: RefSeq, a predicted model, not a curated record
AACCCCCGCGCGUAAGGGUGAAAAUAUGAAUUUGAACCUUUUCCAGACAAAUUGCAGCUCAAUUAUACUGUAAUUUGUGCAGAGAUGGGGAAGAAAUGGACAAAAAGCCACAUUUCACUGAGUGGAGGAUGAGGAAACGUGGGCAACACAGACUAUAAGGUCCUCAGAGAGCUGGAGGAAGCCAGAUAUGAGGAGGAGCAGCCAAUCAGCUGUCACCUGCUUUGAUGUGUCGGGAGGCUCCAAACGACCAGAGCAGCGCUGCAUGUCAUCUCUUUGGCUCCGCGUUGGACCGUAUUUGCCAGUACAGGCUACUCAACCGAUCCAACAAGCUUAAUUAACAUUAGAACCCAUUAGACGUUCAAGAGACUGAUGAAUAAAACAAUGUUAAGAGA